This 252-nucleotide ribosomal RNA is filed under the name uncultured bacterium. RNAcentral's name for it is "partial 16S ribosomal RNA". It matches the Rfam family "Bacterial small subunit ribosomal RNA", at positions 524 to 776 of the family's 1533-position model. The record is from RNAcentral.
UACGGAGGGUGCAAGCGUUGUUCGGAAUCACUGGGCGUAAAGGGCGCGUAGGCGGACUAUCAAGUCUGAUGUGAAAGCCGGGGCUUAACCCCGGAAGUGCAUUGGAAACUGGUAGUCUUGAGUUCGGGAGAGGAAGGCAGAAUUCCAGGUGUAGGGGUGAAAUCCGUAGAUAUCUGGAGGAAAACCAGUGGCGAAGGCGGCCUUCUGGAACGUAACUGACGCUGAGGCGCGAAAGCGUGGGGAGCAAACAGG